Molecule: long non-coding RNA, 319 nt
Filed under: Ananas comosus (pineapple)
Lineage: Eukaryota; Viridiplantae; Streptophyta; Magnoliopsida; Poales; Bromeliaceae
Description: long non-coding RNA (ACOM_LNC021135)
Source: RNAcentral
AAAUGCCCAAAACUUUUUUUUUUGAAACCUUGACCCAAGGGUGACAGACCCGCCACAAAUGUAGGAAAUUCACUGUUCAUGCUGACAGAAUCUCUCAUGUAUUUGCACGGAGUCGCACAUAGUAUAAGUUAUAACCACAUUCAUUUACAACACAUGUUCAUAAUUACAUUCAUACAUUCACAUCUAUCAUUUGAAAAUAUUUUCUAUCCAAAAAUUUAUUUUGAAAUACCAAAAUCACGAAAAGCUAUAAAACUUUUUUGAAACUGUUUUCCACAAUAACACCUUUUAUUUUCUUUGGAAAUGAGCUACCACGAGGGGU